Molecule: ribosomal RNA, 497 nt
Filed under: uncultured bacterium
Lineage: Bacteria
Description: partial 16S ribosomal RNA
Rfam family: Bacterial small subunit ribosomal RNA
Source: RNAcentral
GAUGAACGCUGGCGGCGUGCCUAAUACAUGCAAGUCGAGCGAACAGACGAGGAGCUUGCUCCUCUGACGUUUGCCGCGGACGGGUGAGUAACACGUGGAUAACCCACUUCUCUUACUGGGAUAACUUCGAGAAUCCGGCGCUAACACCGGAUAAUAUAUUUAACCGCAUGGUUCAAUAGUGUAAGACGGUUUUGCUGUCACUUAUAGAUUGAUCCCCGCCGCAUGAGGUAGUUGGUAAGGUAACGGCUUACCAAGGCCACGAUGCGUAGCCGACCGGGGAGGGUGAUCGGCCACACGAGAGCGGAGACGCGGACCAGACUCCUACGGGAGGGAGCAGUAGGGAAUCUGCCGCAGUGGGCGAAAGCUUGGCGGAGCAGCGCCGCGUGAGUGAUGAAGGUCUUCGGAUCGGAAAGCUCGGUUAUGAGGGAAGAACAAAUGUGUAAGUAAAUAAGCACGUCGUGACGGUACCUAGACAGAAAGCCACGGCUAACUACGUG